UUUCUGGGUACUUUGAUUUUGAUUUUUCUUGGCCAGUGUCUCCUGAGUGGUCUCCUCUGUGUCGCCAGUCUUUUGAUUCUUUCAAUCUUCAUAAAAUGACUUGGCUCUCUGUCUCUGCACUGGGGGUCAGAUCCCUCUCUCCUGUGGUGCCCUGAUAGAGCGUCUGAUGUUGUCGACUGGAGUUUGAGUCCUGACCCGCAGAGAAAAUAUCAAAUUAAAAAAAGGCUUAAUGUUGACUGGAUGGAGGCUGUAGAGGAUAUAACGUUGCUCAUCAAAUGCACUGUUGAAAAAUCGAGAAUGUGUUUUUCUUGAAAAUGGCGGAAUGGUCUUUGGGCACUAUGGCCCUAAUUGUUGUUCUAUUUAAUUCUUGACAUUUUAGUCUAAUAUUUUUGAUCAAGGUUGCUUAGCUUAGCUUGCCUAGAUUGAGUUUCUCACCCAGUGUACACCUGAGAAACAGGAGGAAAGCCUGCAGUACACUGGCAUUAUCCAAGCAAGUUCUCUGAGAAACCUGCAUGCUCGACACUAACUCUUCUCAAUGGUGUGUUUUUUGAGUUUUAUAAAGUAGCUUGUGUUCCUGAGGGAUCCCUCCAUAUAAACAUGUUGCCAUCAGAGGUGUAAAGAGAACCUGAAAAUCAUACUCGAGUAAAAGUAUAGAUAAUUUACUGUGAAACUUUUCACCAAUUCCAUUGUAACUUAAGUAAAAGUCUUUGAGUAUCUGA
Long non-coding RNA from Silurus meridionalis, 719 nucleotides. RefSeq lists it as uncharacterized. NCBI's taxonomy places the organism in Eukaryota, Metazoa, Chordata, Actinopteri, Siluriformes, Siluridae. The record is from RefSeq and is a predicted model, not a curated record. The transcript is spliced from 2 exons.